RNAcentral lists this long non-coding RNA (912 nucleotides) under Lepisosteus oculatus (spotted gar). RNAcentral's name for it is "lncRNA (ENSLOCG00000021161.1)". The record is from RNAcentral. Lineage: Eukaryota; Metazoa; Chordata; Actinopteri; Semionotiformes; Lepisosteidae.
GACAGGCACAUCCUCACAGACCCGGAGAGACUGACAGACAGACGGACAGGCACAUCCUCACACGCGGAUUGAGGGACAGAGUGGGGUUCAGCGCCGACGCCGUGGCUCAGGGGAGCAGGACAGGACAGGACAGGGCAGUCCCGCGGCUCCUGCUGCUGUCCAAGCCAUCGCACGGCCUUGCGGGGAGUGAUACUGGACUACUGCGCGUGCGCGGCUUGGCUGCUCAUCCCAGCUCUCCGCCAGCAGGCCUGGGCCCCAGGCGAGGAAUUCCAGCUUUAACAAAGACUGUUUUUCCAGAAGCAAAAUAAUGUAUCUUUUUAUAUAUACUGGGAUAGGGAGAGUAGAGUAAUUUAUCGUGUAGGAAUACGGUGUAUUUGUGUCUAAGUGUGUGUGUGUGUGUUUUCUUCAGGGCGGUUGUGUCUCUGCAGCUGUGUAUAAUGUAUACUAGUGUAUAAUGAGCCAGUGCUUCAGAAACUUCCCACGGGCAGAUUUAAGAAUGACUUUUUUUUUUUUGCUGUUUAUUUUUUUUAAACUGUUUAGAAUGCAAAACCUCCAGAUUCCUUUUAAAACACAGGAGGAAGAGUCCGGACAGCCGCCCGAGAGCGCCCCCUGCAGUUCAGGGUGGAGGCAGCGCUGGGCUCCGGAUCAGGGGGGGGACAGCCCAGCCGGCGGGAUUCCUGACAGCAGCCCGAAAGGCGCGCUGUGCUGCUGGUCGCACCCCUCCGACGCCCUUUGCGUAAAGACGGCCCGCUGCAGCGUGGGGCAGCGUUUGGAGAGGUUCGGGUACUGAACCGGGAAGAGCACUCUGAGUUCGUCACGGGUUUGCGGUCUCGUCUCUGUCUAGCGUGUACGUGUGCGUGUUACAAGAGCAAUAACUCCUCUAUACGUCACUGGUUUUACCUGCUAUCGAUC